RNAcentral lists this ribosomal RNA (253 nucleotides) under uncultured bacterium. RNAcentral's name for it is "partial 16S ribosomal RNA". It matches the Rfam family "Bacterial small subunit ribosomal RNA", at positions 524 to 776 of the family's 1533-position model. The record is from RNAcentral.
UACAGAGGGGGCAAGCGUUGUUCGGAAUUACUGGGCGUAAAGGGCGCGUAGGCGGCCUGUUAAGUCGAACGUGAAAUCCCUGGGCUCAACCCAGGAACUGCGUCCGAUACUGGCAGGCUUGAAUUCGGGAGAGGGAUGCGGAAUUCCAGGUGUAGCGGUGAAAUGCGUAGAUAUCUGGAGGAACACCGGUGGCGAAGGCGGCAUCCUGGACCGAUAUUGACGCUGAGGCACGAAAGCCAGGGGAGCAAACGGG